GCUGUGGCUGGGGCUCAGUGGCAGAGCACUUGCCUAGCAUGUGUGAGGCACUGGGUUCGAGUCUCAACACUGCA
Molecule: transfer RNA, 74 nt
Filed under: Marmota monax (woodchuck)
Lineage: Eukaryota; Metazoa; Chordata; Mammalia; Rodentia; Sciuridae
Description: tRNA.Ala
Source: RNAcentral